Molecule: long non-coding RNA, 1743 nt
Filed under: Macaca fascicularis (crab-eating macaque)
Lineage: Eukaryota; Metazoa; Chordata; Mammalia; Primates; Cercopithecidae
Description: lncRNA (ENSMFAG00000065432.1)
Source: RNAcentral
UUUCACUUGUGAUUAUAUUACUGAUUUGAGAUACCAAAGUAACACAUCCCAAAAGCAACCUAAAAGAAUUCAUUAUUUCUGUGUGAGGCCAAUCACAGUUCAUAACAGACAAAAAUAUGGUCAACAUUUUAUAGCAUUCUUCAAAGGAAAUCAUGAUUCCCAGGAUAGAAGAAUAUACGAAAGUGUCCAGUGCCCCAAUUUUAGGCUCUGCCAGUCACUUCUUUCGUGAGACUCCAAAUAAGUCCUACACUUGCACUCUGCUUGUUUUCUCAAUUAUAAUACUGGGUUGAUGAUAUCUAACAUUUGCACAGUUUUACAAGAUGCUAAGCAUUUUCCUGAGCGCACCCUCACACGAACAUAAAAACACCUUAAAAUAUAAAAUACUAUACACAUAUAAAACAUCACUAUUAUAUUUGUACAGAAUUUUCUCCAAUUUGAAUUGUUUUAGGGAGAUGGCCAAUUCACUGGCCUGAGUUCCACAAAUGAUUUGCCUGUCUAUACAUCAUGUUGCUUUAGGUCAGUAGUUCUUAAUCUCGGCCCAUCUGCCCCUCUUCAAACAGGGGAGUUAAAUAUUUAACUGGGGAGCUUUAAAAACCACUGAUGACUGGGUCUCCUACUCUCCAAAUUCCAAGAAUAUUGGACUGGGAAUUUUAAAAGCUCUUCUGUGGGGAUCUAACAUGCAGCCAGUGUGGAGAAUUACUGUGUUAGGUGAGGGUAAGACUUGCCUUUGUAAGCCAUUGUGAAAAUUCCCUGUGCCUGACAUGCCCCCUUCUUGUGUUCCCUUGUGUUUGGGUGGACCUUGUCGUAAAUACUUAUCUCAACGACUCCUGGGCCACAGAACCUUUGGGCCUCUUUAUGGCUAAGUGGUGUCUAAAAAUGGGCUUUGGAUCAUUAAAUCACAAAAUCACACCUUCUUCCCAUGGCAGGCGUCCUUGUUGGUUACUAGCUAAAUAAAAUUACCCUGCAAGCAGGGAGAUGCUGCCUGCCCCAAUAUUAUAGAUCUUUCCUUUAUUUGCUUUCUAUCAGCCCUUUUUUUUUUUUGGCCUACUUCCUCAGCUUUAUGUUUUCCUAAAUAUCCAUUUCUUCUGUUCUGUCAUUGAUGAUAUUUUAGCAGUAGGCUGGCUGUUAUUAGCAACGUGCCAAACUGUUUGAAGAGGGGGAGAUAAGCACACCAUUACCCCACAAGGUAGGGCAUCAGAUUCAGUGCUUCUGCAGUUAACAGAAAAAAAGGGACAGUCAGCCAACAGCUCCAAUGCUAUCUUCGCUUCAUCAUUUAAACAAAUCACUAUUUUACAUAAGGAAAUUUACGUUGGAUUCUCAGUACAGCCAUGUAUUAUUAUUCAUCCUGACACAAUCUUGUUAAUAUAGCCAUCCAUGCAUCUUUGUCAGGACUUCUGUGAUGAAGUGUUUAGUUAGUUCCUUUUGAAAUAAAGCAGAUUUGGUGCAGUGUCAAAAAUUGAUGUCUUAUCCUCAUCUGUUCAAACAACAAACUUUCUAAAUGACCUAAAAAUACUUGGUGCUCAUAGAGUCUGCUUUUGGAGAAUCAAAAUCACAACUCUCACUCUCUCCAGUCAAAUUCAAAAAGCAACAAUUAUGCACCUACUAUGCCAAGACUUUGUCCAGUUAAAAUCAUUUGUUUGCUUCUGUGGUGCUAAGGACUGCAUUCACUGAGAUUAAUAUGGCCUGUCUAACUUGAACAGGCCACCUCAUUAAUCUAAAAAGAAUAAAACAUGUGACAUGGAC